AAAAGCGGCCGGGAACGGAUCCCAAAUCCCGGCGGGACCGGGCGGGGACGGCCCCGAUCCCGGUUUUUUUAGGGGCUGGAAUGGUGGGAAUUUACCCCAAAAAUAAAAAUCAGGAAUAAAAUUCUUCCCAAAAUUUCCCAAAAUCCCUGAGAGGGGCGGGAAUUUCACCAGGAAUUUUUCCCGGGAAUUUCCCUGCUGGGUCUCCCGAAGAAAUUCCCGGGAAUUUUGGAUGUUUGGGAUCACUCCCGGCUCGAUUUGGGGAAUUAUUUGGGAAUUCGGGAAUUUGGGAAUUAUUUGGGAAUUCGGGGAUUUGGGGAUUCGGGAAUUUGGGAAUUUGGGGAUUUGGGAAUUGGGAAUAUUGAGCAAAUUGGGAAUUGGGGAUUUGGGAUAUGGGGGAUAUCGGGAAUUCAGGAGAUUGGGGAUUUGGGAAUUGGGAAUUUGGUGAUUUGGAAUAUUGAGCAAAUUGGGGAUAUUGGGGAUUUGGGAUAUGGGGGAUACUGAGAAUUUGGGGAUUUGGGAUAUGGGGGAUAUCGGGAAUUUAGGAGAUUGGGGAUUUGGUGAUUUGGAAUAUUGAGCAAAUUGGGAAUUGGGGAUUUGGGAUAUGGGGGAUAUCAGGAAUUUAGGAGAUUGAGGAUUUGGGAAUUUGGAAUAUUGAGCAAAUUGGGAAUUGGGGAUUUGGGAAUAUCGGGAAUUUAGGAGAUUGGGGAUUUGGGAUAUGGGGGAUACUGAGAAUUUGGGAAAAUUGGGAUAUGGGGGAUAUCGGGAAUUCAGGAGAUUGGGGAUUGGGGAUUGGGAAUUUGGGGAUAACCCCGGGGUCCCUGUCCCACCUCCAGCUCCCUGCUGGCCACCAGGAAGAUGCGGGCCCGGACGUCCUUCCAGCGGCUCUCG
This 888-nucleotide long non-coding RNA is filed under the name Zonotrichia albicollis (white-throated sparrow). RNAcentral's name for it is "lncRNA (ENSZALG00000009263.1)". Lineage: Eukaryota; Metazoa; Chordata; Aves; Passeriformes; Passerellidae. The record is from RNAcentral.